This 517-nucleotide ribosomal RNA is filed under the name uncultured Glomeromycotina. RNAcentral's name for it is "SSU rRNA". It matches the Rfam family "Eukaryotic small subunit ribosomal RNA", at positions 569 to 1092 of the family's 1831-position model. The record is from RNAcentral. Lineage: Eukaryota; Fungi; Glomeromycota.
AGCAGCCGCGGUAAUUCCAGCUCCAAUAGCGUAUAUUAAAGUUGUUGCAGUUAAAAAGCUCGUAGUUGAAUUUCGGGAUCAAGUCGUCGGUCGUGCCUCGGUACGCACUGGUGACAUUGGUUUCUCCUUCUGAAGAACCUUGAUGUCAUUAAUUUGGUGUCUUGGGGAAUCAGGACUGUUACUUUGAAAAAAUUAGAGUGUUUAAAGCAGGCUCACGCUUGAAUACAUUAGCAUGGAAUAAUGAAAUAGGACGUUUGACUCUAUUUUGUUGGUUUCUAGGAUCGACGUAAUGAUUAAUAGGGAUAGUUGGGGGCAUUAGUAUUCAAUUGUCAGAGGUGAAAUUCUUGGAUUUAUUGAAGACUAACUACUGCGAAAGCAUUUGCCAAGGAUGUUUUCAUUAAUCAAGAACGAAAGUUAGGGGAUCGAAGACGAUCAGAUACCGUCGUAGUCUUAACCAUAAACUAUGCCGACUAGGGAUCGGAUGAUGUUAAUUUUAUGACUCAUUCGGCGCCUUAAC